RNAcentral lists this long non-coding RNA (658 nucleotides) under Numida meleagris (helmeted guineafowl). RNAcentral's name for it is "lncRNA (ENSNMEG00000000487.1)". Lineage: Eukaryota; Metazoa; Chordata; Aves; Galliformes; Numididae. The record is from RNAcentral.
UGGCUAAAAGUUUAUUGCAUUCAGUUUUAUGGAAUGUAUAUCCAUUUAAAGUAUAUAUGAAAUGAAGUAAUAUCUUUUUGUUUCAUUCUAGGUUCAGGCCACGUUUUCUCAGAUAUUCUCUUCAGAAUAAAGAAAAUAAGAUAGGAAGAGGGGAAGUGGGGGAGACCUGAAGCAGGCAAGACUUCUGUUUACCUUUAAAAAAGCAUUCCACUUGCAUGCUGGUACCCAGAAUGUCUGAAGAAUCACAGGCUGUUUAUGGACCUUUGCUUUUAUGGACAUAACUUCCACUCUUCACAUCCAGACAGUCUCUGCUCUAGAAUUCCAGUGUGAAAGAAGAGAAGUGUCUGUGCACAUUUUUGUGUCAAGAUCAGAGUGGAGGGUGAUGCUGUCCAUGCUGUGGAGGAGUAUGCUAUACAGGCUGCUGACCCAGGGCAGAAGAUAUUUUGCUGAGGAAAUCUGUCUGGAGCCCUUGGUGACUGCUUUUCAGAGCUUUUGUUCUGCCAGAAUGAGGAAGAAAAGGAAUGGAUGUGAAAGCAAACAUGCAGCAAGCAAAUGGACCGGAGGCCAUGCUGGGAACACCUGGCCUCGCUUCUUAGCAAGGAUACAGAAACACUUGGAUUUCCUGAGAUGGGACUCCUGGGCAAGAUGGGCAAGAUAA